RNAcentral lists this ribosomal RNA (482 nucleotides) under uncultured bacterium. RNAcentral describes it as "partial 16S ribosomal RNA". It matches the Rfam family "Bacterial small subunit ribosomal RNA", at positions 28 to 507 of the family's 1533-position model. The record is from RNAcentral.
GACGAACGCUGGCGGCGCGCUUAACACAUGCAGGUCGAGCGAUGAAAUCUUAACAGAACCCUUCGGGGUGAAGAUAAGACGGAUUAGCGGCGGACGGGUGAGUAACACGUGAGUAACCUGCCUUUUACACAGGGAUAGCCUCAGGAAACCGGGAUUAAAACCUGAUGAAACUAUCAAAUCACAUGAUUAAGAAAGUUAAAACUCCGGUGGUAAAAGAUGGACUCGCGUCCCAUUAGCUAGUUGGUGAAGGUAACGGCCCACCAAGGCAACGAUGGGUAGCCGGCCUGAGAGGGUGAACGGCCACAUUGGAACUGAGAAACGGUCCAAACUCCUACGGGAGGCAGCAGUGGGGAAUAUUGCACAAUGGGGGAAACCCUGAUGCAGCGACGCCGCGUGAGCGAAGAAGGCCUUCGGGUCGUAAAGCUCUUUUAUAUGGGAAGAUAAUGACGGUACCAUAAGAAAAAGCCCCGGCUAACUACGUG